Molecule: long non-coding RNA, 1161 nt
Filed under: Cyanoderma ruficeps (rufous-capped babbler)
Lineage: Eukaryota; Metazoa; Chordata; Aves; Passeriformes; Timaliidae
Description: lncRNA (ENSCRFG00000002489.1)
Source: RNAcentral
AUGCUGAGAGCCCACCUGGAGCUCCCACAAAAAAAUCCAAGGGAUGUCAGGAUAGGAAAGGUACAAAUGGACCUGCUGGUGACAGUGAAGAAACAAAGGACACGUUUAAAUGCAUUUUUCAUGUUCAUUCCCACCAUGAAAGGCCAAACUCCAUCACCCUCUGAGAGCCCGGGCUGUGUCGCCUGCAGUGGCCGUGUCGCAGCCAGCUCUGCGCCCCGGGGCUGGGGCAGCGGAGCCGGCGGAGCUGCCGGGGGGAGGGGGGUCCCGUGUUCCAGUCUUGCCUCCCUUCAUUCCCUCACCCGGCGCUCCCCUCACGCCUCCCCCCGCCUUCCACCAGUCAGAGAAGCUUAUUUACAGUGUUUGUUAACGAUAAAAUCCAUGCCGCGAGCAUGCCCUGGGCAAGCGAAUGGCUCUGGGCCGACGGGACACUCCGUGGGACCUGCGGCGGCCCCAGAGCCACACCUGGCCUGGGGGACACGGCGGGAGUGUCCCUGUCAGAGCCCGGGGAGCCCAGCCCGGAUCCCACACACCCACCCGGGCAGGGGCUGCUCAGCACGGCCAGGCCCCACUGCCCAGAGCCCCGGCCCCAGCCCUGCCCGCACAUCCUCACUGGCCACAGGCUGCAGAGCUGGGCUGGGACACCCGCGACACAGCCCUGUCCCCUUCGAGGCUGCUCCUGCUGCCCCCCAGGAGUGCCCCUGUCUGUGCCCCAGGCAGGGGGAGCAGGGCUGGCACGGUGCAGGGCUGCAGGGCUGCAGGGCUGGCACGGUGCAGGGCUGCAGGGCUGCAGGGCUGGCACGGUGCAGGGCUGCAGGGCUGCAGGGCUGCGGGGACGGGGCUGCCUCUGCCCCAAGCAAAGCGAGUGCUCCUGUGCUGAGCGUGGUGCCAGGCGCUGGCAUCCUGCGGCAGCUGCAGGUGGGACAGUGCCCAGCCAUGCACAGGGGUGACACCCCUCUCCGUGGGCUGCAGCAGCCCCUUCCAUCCCCCGGGGGCACCGCGCCUGCCCCAGCCGUCCCGGGGCGUUUGUCUCUCCUGGCGGCAUCCGUAAGCCGCUGCUGCCGGGGCUCAGGAGCGGCUUCCUGCUGUCUGAUCCCAGGAGCACUGAAACCUGGGCACAGAAUUCCUGCCCCAGUCCCGUCUCAGUUAAAUAACGCCCUCUGA